Long non-coding RNA from Priapulus caudatus, 844 nucleotides. RefSeq lists it as uncharacterized. Lineage: Eukaryota; Metazoa; Priapulida; Priapulimorpha; Priapulimorphida; Priapulidae. The record is from RefSeq and is a predicted model, not a curated record. The transcript has 4 exons.
UUCAGUGGCCUCACAACUCCACAGAAGAACCCAUCUUUGCUCUGACAAAAACUGGUGAUAAAUUUGACGAGGUGCGGACUAUACUGCUAGAACUUUAUAGCAAUGGUUGUAAAUUCAGAAUAAGUCAGCUGAAGAAGCGAAUUGAGGAAUCGUCAAUGCCUGUCCCAGCGGAAAACGAGCUUAAACGAUUAAUAAAGGAUUACUGCAUUACUCGGUCAGGCUACUACUAUCUAAAGGGCACCGUGGGAGCAGACAGCUAGUAGCUCUACAGAUGUAGGGUUGGCAUUCCAUGUGCACACAGCACAUAUAUUAUCAGGUCUGCGAAUGAUUCCAUCAAGAUGAUAUCACUAGGCAGAACUAGUGAAAACCUAACCAUCUGCAGCAAAUGCAAGACAUAUCUUUGCGUACCGGCUGGUUGAGCUACCAUAAGCCUUCAUAUGUUGUCAUGAGUCUAAUAGCCAUGUGUCAGGUAUGUGUAGUCAGCAUAUCCUGAAUAUGAUGGCUAUCCUGACGGUUUUGUCAAGUGUUUUUUUUUUAUCUGACAAAAGCCGGCUGUGUUGAUGUAGACAUCCCUGGCAGGAUUCCUGCAUAUAUUCAACGUUGAAUUUGGGCCUUACAGUAAACAGCACACGCACUGUGUGAAUUGUAAGGGGGAUACUGCAAUUAUCAUUCGUAACCAGAGAGCUUAUGUUCCUAAUAAAAGACAAGAUAUGCGAUCUUUAAUCGUGUCUCAGAAGUAAAGUAACGCAUAUGACCUGUUGUUUAUAUAAUGUCGAAAGUAUUAUUGAAAUCUUGCUUUGAUAUAGCUAAAUUAAAUACACGUGAAAUAAUAUUUGCAAUAAUA